This 199-nucleotide ribosomal RNA is filed under the name uncultured bacterium. RNAcentral's name for it is "partial 16S ribosomal RNA". It matches the Rfam family "Bacterial small subunit ribosomal RNA", at positions 1302 to 1500 of the family's 1533-position model. The record is from RNAcentral.
AGUCUGCAACUCGACUACAUGAAGCUGGAAUCGCUAGUAAUCGCGGAUCAGAAUGCCGCGGUGAAUACGUUCCCGGGUCUUGUACACACCGCCCGUCACACCAUGGGAGUCGGAAAUGCCCGAAGUCUGUGACCCAACCGAAAGGAGGGAGCAGCCGAAGGCAGGUCGGAUGACUGGGGUGAAGUCGUAACAAGGUACC